RNAcentral lists this ribosomal RNA (425 nucleotides) under uncultured bacterium. RNAcentral describes it as "partial 16S ribosomal RNA". It matches the Rfam family "Bacterial small subunit ribosomal RNA", at positions 354 to 796 of the family's 1533-position model. The record is from RNAcentral.
GUGGGGAAUCUUAGACAAUGGGGGAAACCCUGAUCUAGCCAUGCCGCGUGAGCGAUGAAGGCCUUAGGGUUGUAAAGCUCUUUCAGCUGGGAAGAUAAUGACGGUACCAGCAGAAGAAGCCCCGGCUAACUCCGUGCCAGCAGCCGCGGUAAUACGGAGGGGGCUAGCGUUGUUCGGAAUUACUGGGCGUAAAGCGCACGUAGGCGGAUCAGAAAGUCAGAGGUGAAAUCCCAGGGCUCAACCUUGGAACUGCCUUUGAAACUCCUGAUCUUGAGGUCGAGAGAGGUGAGUGGAAUUCCGAGUGUAGAGGUGAAAUUCGUAGAUAUUCGGAGGAACACCAGUGGCGAAGGCGGCUCACUGGCUCGAUACUGACGCUGAGGUGCGAAAGCGUGGGGAGCAAACAGGAUUAGAUACCCUUGUAGUCC